GACGAACGCUGGCGGCGUGCUUAACACAUGCAAGUCGAGCGAGAAAGCUCCUUCGGGAGCGAGUACAGCGGCGAACGGGUGAGUAACACGUGGGCAACCUGCCCAAGGGAGCGGGACAACCCGGGGAAACCCGGGCUAAUACCGCAUGAUGCGUCAUGUCUCAAGGCGUGACGCCAAAAGGUAGCUUCGGCCUCCGCCCUUGGAUGGGCCCGCGGCGCAUUAGCUUGUUGGUGGGGAACGGCCUACCAAGGCGACGAUGCGUAGCUGGUCUGAGAGGACGAUCAGCCACACUGGGACUGGGACACGGCCCAGACUCCUACGGGAGGCAGCAGUGGGGAAUCUUGCGCAAUGGGCGAAAGCCUGACGCAGCAACGCCGCGUGGGGAUGAA
This 389-nucleotide ribosomal RNA is filed under the name uncultured bacterium. RNAcentral describes it as "bacterial SSU rRNA". It matches the Rfam family "Bacterial small subunit ribosomal RNA", at positions 28 to 412 of the family's 1533-position model. The record is from RNAcentral.